RNAcentral lists this ribosomal RNA (448 nucleotides) under uncultured Streptococcus sp. RNAcentral describes it as "bacterial SSU rRNA". It matches the Rfam family "Bacterial small subunit ribosomal RNA", at positions 936 to 1382 of the family's 1533-position model. Lineage: Bacteria; Bacillati; Bacillota; Bacilli; Lactobacillales; Streptococcaceae. The record is from RNAcentral.
AGCAUGUGGUUUAAUUCGAAGCAACGCGAAGAACCUUUACCAGGUCUUGACAUCCCGAUGCUAUUUCUAGAGAUAGAAAGUUACUUCGGUACAUCGGUGACAGGUGGUGCAUGGUUGUCGUCAGCUCGUGUCGUGAGAUGUUGGGUUAAGUCCCGCAACGAGCGCAACCCCUAUUGUUAGUUGCCAUCAUUCAGUUGGGCACUCUAGCGAGACUGCCGGUAAUAAACCGGAGGAAGGUGGGGAUGACGUCAGAUCAUCAUGCCCCUUAUGACCUGGGCUACACACGUGCUACAAUGGUUGGUACAACGAGUUGCGAGUCGGUGACGGCGAGCUAAUCUCUUAAAAGCCAAUCUCAGUUCGGAUUGUAGGCUGCAACUCGCCUACAUGAAGUCGGAAUCGCUAGUAAUCGCGGAUCAGCACGCCGCGGUCGAAUACGUUCCCGGGCCUU